GUAGGGUGCGAGCGUUAAUCGGAAUCACUGGGCGUAAAGCGUGCGCAGGCGGCGGCACAAGUCAGGUGUGAAAUCCCCGGGCUUAACCUGGGAAUUGCGCUUGAAACUAGGUCGCUAGAGUGUGGCAGAGGGGGGUGGAAUUCCACGUGUAGCAGUGAAAUGCGUAGAGAUGUGGAGGAACACCGAUGGCGAAGGCAGCCCCCUGGGUCAACACUGACGCUCAGGCACGAAAGCGUGGGGAGCAAACAGGAUUAGAUACCCUGGUAGUCCACGCCCUAAACGAUGUCGACUAGGUGUUGGGGAAGGAGACUUCCUUAGUACCGCAGCUAACGCGUGAAGUCGACCGCCUGGGGAGUACGGUCGCAAGAUUA
Molecule: ribosomal RNA, 371 nt
Filed under: uncultured bacterium
Lineage: Bacteria
Description: bacterial SSU rRNA
Rfam family: Bacterial small subunit ribosomal RNA
Source: RNAcentral